UUUUUAUUAAGAGUUUGAUCCUGGCUCAGGAUGAACGCUGGCGGCGUGCCUAACACAUGCAAGUCGAGCGGUCCAACACUCAACUGAACUACGUUCAUUUAAGUAUUGGACACGAAAACGAAGCGUAGCUGAGUUGAGUGUUGGAUAGCGGCGGACGGGUGAGUAACGCGUGGGCAACCUACCUUGUACAGGGGGAUAACAGUGGGAAACCAUUGCUAAUACCCCAUAAGACUACACUAGGGCAUCCUAGAGUAGCCAAAGAACAUCGGUACAAGAUGGGCCCGCGUCUGAUUAGCUAGUUGGUGGGGUAAAGGCCUACCAAGGCGACGAUCAGUAGCCGGCCUGAGAGGGUGACCGGCCACACUGGAACUGAGACACGGUCCAGACUCCUACGGGAGGCAGCAGUGGGGGAUAUUGCACAAUGGGGGAAACCCUGAUGCAGCGACGCCGCGUGAGCGAAGAAG
RNAcentral lists this ribosomal RNA (464 nucleotides) under Natronincola ferrireducens. RNAcentral's name for it is "bacterial SSU rRNA". It matches the Rfam family "Bacterial small subunit ribosomal RNA", at positions 1 to 413 of the family's 1533-position model. The record is from RNAcentral. Lineage: Bacteria; Bacillati; Bacillota; Clostridia; Peptostreptococcales; Natronincolaceae.